ACGCUGGCGGCACGCCUAACACAUGCAAGUCGAACGAAGUAGCAAUACUUAGUGGCAGACGGGUGAGUAACAUGUGGGUAUCUACCCUUUGGCCUGGAAUAACACGAGGAAACUUGUGCUAAUACUGGAUAAGUCUUUACGGAGAAAGCUUUAUGCACCAUUGGAUGAGCCCGCACUUGAUUAGUUUGUUGGUGGGGUAAUGGCCUACCAAGACUGUGAUCAAUAGCUGAUUUGAGAGGAUGAUCAGCCACAUUGGGACUGAGACACGGCCCAAACUCCUACGGGAGGCAGCAGUGGGGAAUCUUGCACAAUGGAGGAAACUCUGAUGCAGCGAUGCCGCGUGAGUGAAGAAGGCCCUUGGGUUGUAAAGCUCUUUCGUCGGGGAAGAAAAUGACUGUACCCGAAUAAGAAGGUCCGGCUAACUUCGUGCCAGCAGCCGCGGUAAUACGAAGGGACCUAGCGUAGUUCGGAAUUACUGGGCUUAAAGAGUUCGUAGGUGGUUGAAAAAGUUGGUGGUGAAAUCCCAGAGCUUAACUCUGGAACUGCCAUCAAAACUUUUCAGCUAGAGUUUGAUAGAGGAAAGCAGAAUUUCUAGUGUAGAGGUGAAAUUCGUAGAUAUUAGAAAGAAUACCAAUUGCGAAGGCAGCUUUCUGGAUCAUUACUGACACUGAGGAACGAAAGCAUGGGUAGCGAAGAGGAUUAGAUACCCUCGUAGUCCAUGCCGUAAACGAUGUGUGUUAGACGUUGGAAAUUUAUUUUCAGUGUCGCAGCGAAAGCGAUAAACACACCGCCUGGGGAGUACGA
This 804-nucleotide ribosomal RNA is filed under the name uncultured Pelagibacteraceae bacterium. Its description in RNAcentral is "bacterial SSU rRNA". It matches the Rfam family "Bacterial small subunit ribosomal RNA", at positions 33 to 885 of the family's 1533-position model. The record is from RNAcentral. Lineage: Bacteria; Pseudomonadati; Pseudomonadota; Alphaproteobacteria; Candidatus Pelagibacterales; Candidatus Pelagibacteraceae.